UAACCCCAGAAACACUCCUCAUUUCACAAUCAUCUCUGUCUCUAAACCAAAACCUAGCCGCCCCCAAACCCCUCGUUGGCUCCGCCCUGCUUCGCCGCCCGAAAAUCGCCUUACGGCGGAGGAGCUUCACAAAUCAAUCCAAAUUCAUACCUCAUAACCCUGAUAUCUUCCCAAACACCAUCCUACUAUUCCAUUUCCCCAAAUCCAUCAAUUUUAGAUCUAAAAAUCGGACCCAAACCCAAACUUCUCCAAAUCAACCCAAACUUCACCAUGCAAUAUCCUCCUCCUCCUCAUCUUCCCAAAUAUCCCUUUGAUUCCUCUCAAAUCAGCCCCAGCCUCGUUGAAUCUUAAAUCCAAGAUUCUGAAACCCUAAUUGUCCCUGCUCGAGUUUUAUUUAAGGUGGGGUUAUAUGAACCCAAAGCGCCCAUUAGCCGAUUGUUCUCAACAAAGAACUGUCGAGUAAUGGACAAACAAGUUCAUAUUUCCCCCAUUUCAAGUCUGGCCGAGUUCGAAGCUGCCUACGCCAAAGUCUCAGGUCCUUUCUUCUUAUUUUUCUUUUCCUCAUUCUUGAUAUAUGUCUCAUCUUUAUAUUUUUUUUAUGAACAAAAAAGGUUCUAUUUCAAAUAACCAGUAAUUAGGUUUUCCCUUAUGUUUAAUUUUCUUACAUGUUCAUCUGUUCUGUUGUUUGUUUUCUUCUGUCGAUUAGGUUUAAUUUGUAGUUAAUUGUCAACUAAUUGGUUAGUUUAUGGUUUUAGACUUCUUAUUCCCUUGUUAAUUAGUUCUUAAUAUUCUAUAAUUAGUCAAUUUUAGUUUUCAGUAAAUCAUGCAAGUCUAGGAGUUGAAAUUGUUGAUUAAGUUUGAUUCUAGACUUAAUUGAUUUAGCCUUAGAAACAUUAGUUUAGCUGAUAAUCCUUAGAUUUUUCUUGGUUUCACCACCUUGAUAUGUUUUGUGUAAAAUAGAGGUUUUAAAAUUCAGUUUAGCCAUUUAAGUUUAGUCUUGUUUUGAUUAGAUAAACACUCUUUUAGUUCAAAUUGCAUCAUCUCUUCUAUUUUUGUUUCUGCUGACAUUUUUCAAUUUGUAUUUUUCUGAUUUGUUGAUAGAUUUUUGUUUCGGUUUGCCCUAGUCUAUAAAUCAUUAGAACUUAUAGGGACCUAAUUGAACUAAAAGAGAACUUAGGACAAUUUUCAGAAAUAUCUAGGAAGAGAAAGUUUCCAGAAAUGGUACAGAUGUCCUAGCUGUUACAAAAGACGCUGAAAUAGGGUAAGGAGGACAGCUGUAUUGUACUAUUUUUCAGACUUUAGGAUAAGGAAUAUUCCCUAAAAAUAUCCAUUCUAGGCAGCCUAUAUAUAGACUCUCAUUCUGAAAUUGACACAAAUUCAGCAUCAUUUUACUGCACAAAAGUUCUCUUUUCCUUUAUGAAAAAGAUGAGAUUUCACAAAUUUUAGAAAAAUAUUCAAAACUUCUUAUUAUUGGUUUUACAAGCUGAAACACAUGGUUUGAAGUAAAGAAUUUUUCUUGGGUUCUUUAGCUGGGUUUUCUAGUUUCAAAGCUGGUUGGAUUUGAUUUAAAUUUCUGAUUUCUUUUGGGCUGUUGUUGCUAUUUUUUGAUUUCUGCUCCUUCAAGCUUCAGUUGACUUUCUUUGUUCACCUGCUUACUUGCCGGUUUUAUUGAUGUUUGUUCAAGGUACUAUGCUUGACCUUUUUUCAUGUAAAGCUCUUAUUUGAAAUGAUAUGAAACUGAAGCUGCUAGAAUUCAUAUGAUAAUGCAUUCUCAUGAUUAACUUGUGAUUGUGUUGAUUGGAUUUGAUUAGUUUUUGUUUUAUGAGAUUUUGAUUUGGUCAGUUUGUUUAAAAGAACCUUAUAGUCUCUCCUUUUAGAAGUAACUUUGUGUGAAAAUGUCUUUUGGUCUGCAGAUUUGGCCACCAGUUGGCCCAAAUCAGCUAGAUCUAAACUAAAGAUAGGAUUCUGCUGGUUAAAUUUAUGCUGAAACUAGUAUUUUCCAUGAGGUGGAUCAACUUGUGAUGGACAAAUCAUGUCCAAAAGAGGCAAGGAUUGGUUGGGUUGCUGAAAAAUAUAAUAGAGUAGUUUACAUAAUAGUUUAUGUGUGUAAUAGAUCUAAUGCAGCAUGUUUGGGAUUUUUCUAAAAAAAAUGUCUUCUUUUAUUUGUUAUUUAUUCGGGACUGUAAUAAAUCAGAUUUUUAUAUCAUGUUUAAGGAUCAAAAUAUUUGCUUUAGGAGUACAUUUGUUUGUCAUUCCAUUAUCACCAUUGUGGUGGAACAGGCCAAGUUAUGAGCCUUAUCUGUAAGGAUAAAGGGCUAUCCUCUAAUUCAAUUGGGCUGAAGCUAUGAGUAAGCCCAGAUGAAAAAAUACCAAAGAAUUUAGGCUUAGGCCAUUUGGCCUGAGCCACAAGCCUGAAAAUUUAUCUUUCACCCGUAAAAGUUCCUUGUAUCUGUCAUAUUGUAAAUAUAUGUUUUUAUGCAUCUUGUAAACCAUGUAAUCAAUUGAUGAAUUAGAGCUAUGUUGUAUAUCCUGAUUUUAUUUAAAAGCAAG
RNAcentral lists this long non-coding RNA (2550 nucleotides) under Nicotiana tabacum (common tobacco). RNAcentral describes it as "long non-coding RNA (NTAB_LNC003624)". Lineage: Eukaryota; Viridiplantae; Streptophyta; Magnoliopsida; Solanales; Solanaceae. The record is from RNAcentral.